This 379-nucleotide ribosomal RNA is filed under the name uncultured eukaryote. RNAcentral describes it as "partial 18S ribosomal RNA". It matches the Rfam family "Eukaryotic small subunit ribosomal RNA", at positions 592 to 976 of the family's 1831-position model. The record is from RNAcentral.
CAAUAGCGUAUAUUUAAGUUGUUGUAGUUAAAAAGCUCGUAGUUGGAUUUUGGGUCGGGGGCACCGGUCCGCCGUUCCGGUGUGCACUGGUGGCCCCUUCCUUUCUGCCGGGGACGUGCGUCGCACUUAAUUGGGUGGCGUUCGGAGUCGGCGUUGUUACUUUGAAAAAAUUAGAGUGUUCAAAGCAAGCCAUCGAUCUGAAUACAUUAGCAUGGAAUAACAUGAUAGGACUCCGGUCUUAUUUUGUUGGUUUCCGAGACUGGAGUAAUGAUUAAGAGGGACAGUCGGGGGCAUCCGUAUUUCAUUGUCAGAGGUGAAAUUCUUGGAUUUAUGAAAGACGAACUUCUGCGAAAGCAUUUGCCAAGGAUGUUUUCAUUAA